Sphaeramia orbicularis (orbiculate cardinalfish) is the source of this 341-nucleotide long non-coding RNA. RefSeq lists it as uncharacterized. NCBI's taxonomy places the organism in Eukaryota, Metazoa, Chordata, Actinopteri, Kurtiformes, Apogonidae. The transcript is spliced from 5 exons. The record is from RefSeq and is a predicted model, not a curated record.
GGACUUUGUGUAGUUGAGCACCUCAGACUGAAGCUCCAGGCUGACACUGAGAAGACACAAGAGAAGGAAAUCUGCAGCAGGUCUUCAUCUGGGACAUCUGCAUCAUCUGCAUCAUCUGCAUCGUUGUCGUCGUCAUGAAGUUGCUGGUUGUGUUUCUCCUUGUUGGAACCAUGAUGGUCCUGUCAGAGGGUUUUCCAGAACCAGAGCCUGGACCUGAGGCCAAACCAACUGAAGGAAGUGAACCUGAGACAGAAUCAGCAGAUGAAGACGAGAACAGUGUUGUCAAGAGAGCAGCAGGAUGCCCCUUUGAUUGGAUAGGAUUCAGAAAUGACACUGAGGUA